Molecule: ribosomal RNA, 253 nt
Filed under: uncultured bacterium
Lineage: Bacteria
Description: partial 16S ribosomal RNA
Rfam family: Bacterial small subunit ribosomal RNA
Source: RNAcentral
UACGUAGGGGGCUAGCGUUGUCCGGAUUUAUUGGGCGUAAAGAGCGUGUAGGCGGCCAGAUAGGUCUGCUGUGAAAACUCGAGGCUCAACCUCGAGCUGUCGGCGGAAACCAUCCGGCUAGAGGACGGUAGAGGAGAGUGGAAUUCCCGGUGUAGUGGUGAAAUGCGUAGAUAUCGGGAGGAACACCAGUGGCGAAAGCGGCUCUCUGGGCCGUUCCUGACGCUAAGACACGAAAGCGUGGGGAGCAAACAGG